RNAcentral lists this ribosomal RNA (467 nucleotides) under uncultured bacterium. Its description in RNAcentral is "bacterial SSU rRNA". It matches the Rfam family "Bacterial small subunit ribosomal RNA", at positions 1 to 452 of the family's 1533-position model. The record is from RNAcentral.
CCCUUAGAGUUUGAUCCUGGCUCAGGAUGAACGCUGGCGGCGUGCCUAACACAUGCAAGUCGAGCGAAGCACUUUGCUUAGAUUCUUCGGAUGAAGAGGAUUGUGACUGAGCGGCGGACGGGUGAGUAACGCGUGGGUAACCUGCCUCAUACAGGGGGAUAACAGUUAGAAAUGACUGCUAAUACCGCAUAAGACCACAGCACCGCAUGGUGCGGGGGUAAAAACUCCGGUGGUAUGAGAUGGACCCGCGUCUGAUUAGCUGGUUGGUAAGGUAACGGCUUACCAAGGCGACGAUCAGUAGCCGACCUGAGAGGGUGACCGGCCACAUUGGGACUGAGACACGGCCCAAACUCCUACGGGAGGCAGCAGUGGGGAAUAUUGCACAAUGGGGGAAACCCUGAUGCAGCGACGCCGCGUGAGCGAAGAAGUAUUUCGGUAUGUAAAGCUCUAUCAGCAGGGAAGAAAAU